Molecule: ribosomal RNA, 119 nt
Filed under: Pteropus alecto (black flying fox)
Lineage: Eukaryota; Metazoa; Chordata; Mammalia; Chiroptera; Pteropodidae
Source: RNAcentral
GUCUACGGCCAUGCUACCCUGAACAAGCCCAAUCCCAUCUGAUCCUGGAAGCUAAGCAGGGUCAGGCAUGGUUAGUACUUGGAUAGGAGACCACCUAGGAAGACCAGGUGCUGUAGGCA